RNAcentral lists this ribosomal RNA (511 nucleotides) under uncultured bacterium. Its description in RNAcentral is "bacterial SSU rRNA". It matches the Rfam family "Bacterial small subunit ribosomal RNA", at positions 28 to 527 of the family's 1533-position model. The record is from RNAcentral.
GACGAACGCUGGCGGCGUGGAUUAGGCAUGCAAGUCGAACGGUAUCAUCCUUUCGGGGGUGAGAGAGUGGCGAACUGGUGAGUAACACGUAGGUUAUCUACCCUCAAGACGGGGACAACCCAGGGAAACUUGGGCUAAUACCGGAUGUGAGCAACUUUUAGUUGUUUGAAAGGUGGCGUAAGCUGUCGCUUGGGGAUGAGCCUGCGUCCUAUUAGUUAGUUGGUGAGGUAACGGCUCACCUAGGCAAUGAUAGGUAGGCGGCCUUAACGGGUGGUCGCCCACACUGGGAUUGAGAUACGGCCCAGACUCCUACGGGAGGCAGCAGUCGAGAAUAGUCUACAAUGGUCGGAAGACUGAUAGUGCGACGCCGCGUGAACGAUGAAUCCCUUCGGGGUGUAAAGUUCUUUUAUAUGUGAGCAGUGCUUCUUAUAUUAACAGUAGUGGGGAGAGAGAUAUUAGCAUAUGAAUAAGCAACGGCUAACUCCGUGCCAGCAGGCCGACGGUAAACUCG